CUACGGGUCGCUCCAGCGGGGAAUAUUGCACAAUGGAGGAAACUCUGAUGCAGCAACGCCGCGUGGAGGAUGACACUUUUCGGAGCGUAAACUCCUUUUAUAUAGGAAGAAGAUGACGGUACUAUAUGAAUAAGCGCCGGCUAACUCCGUGCCAACAGCCGCGGUAAUACGGAGGGCGCAAGCGUUACUCGGAAUCACUGGGCGUAAAGAGCGUGUAGGCGGAUUAAAAAGUCAGAAGUGAAAUCCUAUAGCUUAACUAUAGAACUUCUUCUGAAACUCUUAAUCUAGAAUAUGGGAGAGGUAGAUGGAAUUUCUGGUGUAGGGGUAAAAUCCGUAGAGAUCAGAAGGAAUACCGAUUGCGAAGGCGAUCUACUAGAACAUUAUUGACGCUGAGACGCGAAAGCGUGGGGAGCAAACAGGAUUAGAUACCCGGGUAGUC
This 439-nucleotide ribosomal RNA is filed under the name uncultured bacterium. RNAcentral describes it as "partial 16S ribosomal RNA". It matches the Rfam family "Bacterial small subunit ribosomal RNA", at positions 339 to 795 of the family's 1533-position model. The record is from RNAcentral.